GGGUCAGUUGGUGGGUCGUGCCACCGGUACGUACUGGUCUCACUGAUUCCUCCUUCCUGAAGAACCGUAAUGCCAUUAAUUUGGUGUUGCGGGGAAACAGGACUGUUACUUUGAAAAAAUUAGAGUGUUUAAAGCAAGCUAACGCUUGAAUACAUUAGCAUGGAAUAAUGAAAUAGGACGAUCGAUCCUAUUUUGUUGGUUUCUAGGAUUGACGUA
This 216-nucleotide ribosomal RNA is filed under the name Glomeromycotina sp. Its description in RNAcentral is "partial small subunit ribosomal RNA". The stretch from base 40 to 216 matches the Rfam family "Eukaryotic small subunit ribosomal RNA", at positions 686 to 864 of the family's 1831-position model. The record is from RNAcentral. Lineage: Eukaryota; Fungi; Glomeromycota.